GCUUACGGCCAUACCACCUUAGGCACGCCCGAUCUCGUCUGAUCUCGGAAGUUAAGCAGGGUCGGGCCUGGUUAGUACUUGGAUGGGUUACCGCCUGGGAAUACCAGGUGCUGUAAGCA
This 119-nucleotide ribosomal RNA is filed under the name Gadus morhua (Atlantic cod). The record is from RNAcentral. Lineage: Eukaryota; Metazoa; Chordata; Actinopteri; Gadiformes; Gadidae.